This 572-nucleotide ribosomal RNA is filed under the name uncultured Bifidobacterium sp. Its description in RNAcentral is "partial 16S rRNA". Lineage: Bacteria; Bacillati; Actinomycetota; Actinomycetes; Bifidobacteriales; Bifidobacteriaceae. The record is from RNAcentral.
CACUAGUGAUUGGUGUUCUUCCCGAUAUCUACACAUUCCACCGUUACACCGGGAAUUCCAGUCUCCCCUACCGCACUCAAGCCCGCCCGUACCCGGCGCGGAUCCACCGUUAAGCGAUGGACUUUCACACCGGACGCGACGAACCGCCUACGAGCCCUUUACGCCCAAUAAUUCCGGAUAACGCUUGCACCCUACGUAUUACCGCGGCUGCUGGCACGUAGUUAGCCGGUGCUUAUUCGAAAGGUACACUCACCCGAAGGCUUGCUCCCGAUCAAAAGCGGUUUACAACCCGAAGGCCGUCAUCCCGCACGCGGCGUCGCUGCAUCAGGCUUGCGCCCAUUGUGCAAUAUUCCCCACUGCUGCCUCCCGUAGGAGUCUGGGCCGUAUCUCAGUCCCAAUGUGGCCGGUCGCCCUCUCAGGCCGGCUACCCGUCGUAGGCUCGGUGGGCCGUUACCCCGCCGACUACCUGAUAGGACGCGACCCCAUCCCAUACCGAUGAAAUCUUUCCCGGAAGGACAUGCAUCCAACCGGAGCAUUCGGCAUUACCACCCGUUUCCAGGAGAAUCGAAUUC